UACGUAGGGGGCAAGCGUUGUCCGGAUUUACUGGGCGUAAAGAGCGCGUAGGCGGAAGCUUAAGUGUGGCCUGAAAGCCCCCGGCUCAACCGGGGAAGGUGGCUGCAAACUGGGUUUCCUGAGGGCGAUAGGGGAGAGCGGAAUUCCUGGUGUAGCGGUGAAAUGCGUAGAGAUCAGGAGGAACACCGAUGGCGAAGGCAGCUCUCUGGGUCGGCCCUGACGCUGAGGCGCGAAAGCGUGGGGAGCGAACAGG
Molecule: ribosomal RNA, 253 nt
Filed under: uncultured bacterium
Lineage: Bacteria
Description: partial 16S ribosomal RNA
Rfam family: Bacterial small subunit ribosomal RNA
Source: RNAcentral